This is a long non-coding RNA of Saccoglossus kowalevskii, 640 nucleotides long. RefSeq lists it as uncharacterized. Lineage: Eukaryota; Metazoa; Hemichordata; Enteropneusta; Harrimaniidae. The record is from RefSeq and is a predicted model, not a curated record.
GUUCUUAGUUAUUGCAGUCACCCCGACAUGGUAUCUGUGCAUGAAUCAUUACUCCAUCUGUAUUGAAUCGCCAAAUAAUUGCAUCAAGAGAUGAUGAUGGUGUGUGUGUGCCAGGUGAAAUGUCUCUGCGUUAUUACGAAAGAUCAAUGCUUGCAAGCAGAUAUGUUAACAUUCUGAAGAUUGGCAACUACUAUUGCUAUAUUGGAAUUCUUGCAAGGAGUACAUCAAGUAUGCGCACACAAAAUGGUACAAGAGCUAAUAGAGAAGGAACUGAAUGAGUAUCCAUAUGGUUGAAAUGCACAUAUGCUGUGAAGUAGACUCUAUUGUCAGUAUGGUUAUGGAAACAAAGGAAAUGACAAGAUGGCAUGCAAAAUAUGGAAUGGUACCAACAUGAUGGAUCUGAUCCCCGGCAAUGAUUGAGCGAAGAAAACAUGGCAUUUAUAAAUUUGUGGUCGGGGGAAAUUUACAAUCGACCGAAAUGGCUAAUGUAUUGAUGGAGACUUUUAAGCUAGCAAAAUGUGUUGGAUUGUCUUGGAUGCAUCACGUAUGCUCUGUGUUCAUUGGAUAAGGAUGUUAUCACUCAUGCUUGUUUACAUUGACAACAUGAGGUUUUGAAAUCAUAGCAAAUAUAGUUGUAAUA